GACGAACGCUGGCGGCGUGCUUAACACAUGCAAGUCGAACGCUGAAGCUCAGCUUUUGUUGGGUGGAUGAGUGGCGAACGGGUGAGUAACACGUGAGUAACCUGCCCCCUUCUUUGGGAUAACGCCCGGAAACGGGUGCUAAUACUGGGUAUUCACUGGUCUUCGCAUGGGGGUUGGUGGAAAGGGUUUUUCUGGUGGGGGAUGGGCUCGCGGCCUAUCAGCUUGUUGGUGGGGUGAUGGCCUACCAAGGCUUUGACGGGUAGCCGGCCUGAGAGGGUGACCGGUCACAUUGGGACUGAGAUACGGCCCAGACUCCUACGGGAGGCAGCAGUGGGGAAUAUUGCACAAUGGGCGCAAGCCUGAUGCAGCGACGCCGCGUGAGGGAUGGAGGCCUUCGGGUUGUGAACCUCUUUCGCUCAUGGUCAAGCCGCAACAAUGGUUGUGGUGAGGGUAGUGGGUAAAGAAGCGCCGGCUAACUACGU
Molecule: ribosomal RNA, 482 nt
Filed under: uncultured bacterium
Lineage: Bacteria
Description: partial 16S ribosomal RNA
Rfam family: Bacterial small subunit ribosomal RNA
Source: RNAcentral